RNAcentral lists this long non-coding RNA (448 nucleotides) under Mus caroli (Ryukyu mouse). RNAcentral's name for it is "lncRNA (MGP_CAROLIEiJ_G0003368.1)". The record is from RNAcentral. Lineage: Eukaryota; Metazoa; Chordata; Mammalia; Rodentia; Muridae.
CACAUCUACCAGACUCUCUGGGUCCCUUCACUUCCCGAGGGGAUUAGCAGCCGCUCACCUCUGCCUUGGGCCAAUGGAAUUGCACCGCCUUUGGGGUCUGCUUAGCCUCUAGGGGUCUUCACUCGGGAGGAGGGCGGGGCAGGUGACGCAGCUAUAGCCUCGGCUUCUGGGAAUGGGCGGGCCAUAGACCCGGGACCACCAGCGCCAACCCAGGCUUGCCUGCGCGUUUGCUCCUCCCGUGUUGUUUAAAAGUUAUCAAUGAGAAACACAGGUGGAGGCUGAGCUCUGAUGAAUAUGGGAAGUACAGAGGGCCAGCAGCCCCUAACCACAGUUCAGAAGUGUAUGACACGCAGAAGAUGAAAGGUAAACAAUUCAAUCUGAAGACAGAGGAAGCACAAUCUAAGUCUCUAGAGCAAACAAUAAAAACAAUUAACUUUAAAUAGGCAUA